GUUGGGUCAUUUUGUUGGGUUAUUUUCAUAGAGUUGGGUUGUUUUUUUCCUACCCAGCAGGUUGGGUCAAAACCACUGAGCUCAACUGUCAGCAGCGGCCAUUACUGCUCCUCCACCUCCUCCGAUUGAAACUGCUCAUAAAGAUCAACUUUACCCUCUCCAUGUGGGACCUCCAGAGCUGAUAAAUGCCACUAAAGCUUUACAGAAAACAAACUCUCCUGAGCUCAUCCAACAGCUCUGUCUGUCUGAAGAUCAUCAUCUGCAUCACUGGACACCAGUCCCAUGGAAUCUUCAGCUCAGUGGAAGUGUCCGCCUGCCUCUGAGACGAUGCCUCUGUUACUUCACCAAGUGGUCUCUGCUGCUGUAGACUGCAGUGUCCUCAGCCCUGUCCCUGCUCUGUCUCCUGCUGCAGUGUCCCCAGCCCUGUCUCCUGCUUCAGACUGAACUUUUCCCAGCCCUGUCCCUGCUGUGACUGAACUGUCCACAGCCCUGUCUCUGACUCUGAAAAGGACCACUUCACCAAAAUACAGCAAGUACAAUAUGGACAAUGGGGACUUUCC
RNAcentral lists this long non-coding RNA (560 nucleotides) under Neogobius melanostomus (round goby). RNAcentral's name for it is "lncRNA (ENSNMLG00000009758.1)". The record is from RNAcentral. Lineage: Eukaryota; Metazoa; Chordata; Actinopteri; Gobiiformes; Gobiidae.